CCUACGGAGGGCAGCAGUGAGGAAUAUUGGUCCAUGGACGAGAGUCUGAACCAGCCAAGUAGCGUGAAGGAUGACUGCCCUCUGGGUUGUCACCUUCUUUUAUAUGGGUAUAAAAUGUUCCUCGUUCGGGAUUUUGUAUGUACCAUAUGCAUAAGGAUAGGCUAACUCCGUGCCAGCAGCCAAGGUAAUACGGAGGUUCCUAGCGUUAUACGGAUUUAUUGGGUGUAAAGGGAGCGUAGGUGGAUUGUUAAGUCAGUUGUGAAAGUUUGCGGCUCAACCGUAGAAUUGCAGUUGAAACUGGAAGGCUUGAGUACAGUAGAGGUGGGCGGAAUGUGUGGUGUAGCGGUGAAAUGCUUAGAUAUCACGAAGAACUCCGAUUGCGAAGGCAGUUCACUGGACUGCAACUGACACUGAGGCUCGAAAGUGUGGGUAUCAAACAGGAUUAGAUACCCGAGUAGUC
Molecule: ribosomal RNA, 460 nt
Filed under: uncultured bacterium
Lineage: Bacteria
Description: partial 16S ribosomal RNA
Rfam family: Bacterial small subunit ribosomal RNA
Source: RNAcentral